CACAAGCGGUGGAUGAUGUGGAUUAAUUCGAUGCAACGCGAAAAACCUUUACCUACCCUUGACAUGUCUGGAACUUGGCAGAGAUGCCUUGGUGCCUUCGGGAGCCAGAACACAGGUGCUGCAUGGCUGUCGUCAGCUCGUGCCGUGAGAUGUUGGGUUAAGUCCCGCAACGAGCGCAACCCUUACCAUUAGUUGCCAUCAUUUAGUUGGGCACUCUAAUGGGACUGCCGGUGACAAACCGGAGGAAGGCGGGGAUGACGUCAAGUCCUCAUGGCCCUUAUGGGUAGGGCUUCACACGUCAUACAAUGGUCGGUACAGAGGGUUGCCAAGCCGCGAGGUGGAGCUAAUCUCAGAAAGCCGAUCGUAGUCCGGAUCGCAGUCUGCAACUCGACUGCGUGAAGUCGGAAUCGCUAGUAAUCGUGGAUCAGAAUGUCACGGUGAAUACGUUCCCGGGCCUU
RNAcentral lists this ribosomal RNA (458 nucleotides) under uncultured Azoarcus sp. RNAcentral describes it as "bacterial SSU rRNA". It matches the Rfam family "Bacterial small subunit ribosomal RNA", at positions 924 to 1382 of the family's 1533-position model. The record is from RNAcentral. Lineage: Bacteria; Pseudomonadati; Pseudomonadota; Betaproteobacteria; Rhodocyclales; Zoogloeaceae.